RNAcentral lists this long non-coding RNA (876 nucleotides) under Equus caballus (horse). Its description in RNAcentral is "lncRNA (ENSECAG00000032317.3)". Lineage: Eukaryota; Metazoa; Chordata; Mammalia; Perissodactyla; Equidae. The record is from RNAcentral.
CACUCGUCAAUUGCUGUGGUGUAAAUAGUCCUACCAUGGCCAAUUUCAAGCCGCCAACCUGACAUCACCCAAGAAGGAAUUGUGAAGAUGUGGAUGAUAGCAGAGAUUUUCUAGGCUUGAAUUAUGGACUAUAAUCUCGUCCUGCUUUCGUCGCUCCAUCGCCUCACAAAUUCUCUGAGCUGGAUUAGGCCGUUUCCUUGCAGUUGGAUUAUGUAUCCAUGAAGUGAAAAAAUCUCUCUCUCUGACGGGCAUGUUAAUAAGCAGUGAGACUCAGAAACACCAACAGAACACGGUGGACGAAAGAGAGACAGAAGGAUAAGAGAACAGAGAAAUCGGAUAACAAGCUCACAAAACAAAAACAAAAAAAAAACCCAAACCAAUAGCUGACUUUUUUUAAACGAAAUGUCGGCACAAUAAUAGAAUCACAAAAUCAUAAAAGAGAAAGUUGCGCUUCUAAGUUUACAGCUUCAGUCGAGUUUUCACAUCGUCUCAAGUGAGUCGGAAAGAAAACCUAUACCACACCUGUGUAUACAGAUGGAGACCCAAACAUCAGUCCUGCUCUAUGAAGGUGUUCAGAGGUCAGUGAUGGUGUGCACCUCAAGGACCUAUGGAAGGGGAGGUCCAUUUCUGAAGGCUUUGUGAAAGUUGCAGUCUGCCCGUCCUGCCGUCUUUUACUCUAUUUCAGGCACGAUGGGGCCUCUCGGAAAUACAAAAGCUAACAAGUGGAGGGACAGUAUUAAAAUGUGCCCAAGUCUUCUGGUUGCAUAUCAGUGUCGCCAGGAUCAGACUAGAGAAAUCUGAAAUCUCUGUACACCCCCCCCCCGAAAAAAACCUAAAAAAAUCAAAAUGUCCUCAAUCUAAUUUUUCAUGGUGGGU